RNAcentral lists this ribosomal RNA (403 nucleotides) under bacterium Ellin5250. RNAcentral's name for it is "bacterial SSU rRNA". It matches the Rfam family "Bacterial small subunit ribosomal RNA", at positions 29 to 457 of the family's 1533-position model. Lineage: Bacteria; Pseudomonadati; Pseudomonadota; Alphaproteobacteria. The record is from RNAcentral.
AACGAACGCUGGCGGCAGGCUUAACACAUGCAAGUCGAACGCGUGUAGCAAUACACGAGUGGCGCACGGGUGAGUAACGCGUGGAUAUCUGCCUUUUGGUUCGGAAUAACCCCGGGAAACUGGGGCUAAUACCGGAUGGUUCCUACGGGAUAAAGAUUUAUCGCCAAAAGAUGAGUCCGCGUACGAUUAGCUAGUUGGUGAGGUAAUGGCUCACCAAGGCGACGAUCGUUAGCUGGUCUGAGAGGACGAUCAGCCACACUGGGACUGAGACACGGCCCAGACUCCUACGGGAGGCAGCAGUGGGGAAUAUUGGACAAUGGGGGCAACCCUGAUCCAGCCAUGCCGCGUGAAAGAUGAAGGCCAUCGGGUUGUAAAGCUCUUUUGGCGGGGACGAUGAUGCGGU